RNAcentral lists this transfer RNA (77 nucleotides) under Sporomusa termitida. RNAcentral describes it as "tRNA-Met". It matches the Rfam family "tRNA". Rfam says of the family: Transfer RNA (tRNA) molecules are approximately 80 nucleotides in length. Their secondary structure includes four short double-helical elements and three loops (D, anti-codon, and T loops). Further hydrogen bonds mediate the characteristic L-shaped molecular structure. tRNAs have two regions of fundamental functional importance: the anti-codon, which is responsible for specific mRNA codon recognition, and the 3' end, to which the tRNAs corresponding amino acid is attached (by aminoacyl-tRNA synthetases). tRNAs cope with the degeneracy of the genetic code in two manners: having more than one tRNA (with a specific anti-codon) for a particular amino acid; and 'wobble' base-pairing, i.e. permitting non-standard base-pairing at the 3rd anti-codon position. RNAcentral also lists the same sequence under 10 other names. The record is from RNAcentral. Lineage: Bacteria; Bacillati; Bacillota; Negativicutes; Selenomonadales; Sporomusaceae.
GGAUCUAUAGCUCAGUUUGGUAGAGCAUCCGGCUCAUAACCGGCGGGUCCUAGGUUCAAAUCCUAGUAGAUCCACCA